UUUUAUUCUUUCAGGACUUGAUCCUACUCUCAGAUGUCAAUGGCUUAAAAGGGUAAGUCCUGUAAAGGUGAUAUGGACAGCAAAUAAGAGGAAAAUAUUUUUUUAAUCUUUCAUUUUGUUCCCUAUAUAAAUAAUCAGGAAUGAUGAAAAACUGCAUUUUGAACCAUUAGAGGCAUUCACCUUCAUUCAUCUCAGGGCAAUCCCUUUACUUGAUUUUAGGGCGGCACUGAUAGACUUCUAAAGGAAUUAGGUCUAGUUUAUUUCUGAUUCUUAAAAAGGUCUACUAAAUGGACUCCCUUUUUACUCCCUAUGGAGUAAAAAGCUGGGACAUACAGGAAUCCUCACUGCGCUAUCUUGGAUGCAGUUGAGCUGUCCAAUGUAAUUUUUUUUUCUUUAACCAUCAUUUUGCUUGUGAUUCUGAUUUCACAGCACAAGUUGCUAGCUGAAGGAUAUUUUGUAAUUCAUAUGGCAAUUUUAUACCUCUGUUCAGAUAUUCCACCUGGCAAAAAUGUUAACAAGACCAUUUUCAUUUUUAAAUCAGGAAAGCAUUUUCCAUGAUUGCCUGGAGAAAUGUCUCUUCUACUUAAAGAACUGAAGGAAAUAUACUUUGCUAUUCUGAGUAUAAACAUUCAUUAUUUUAAGGAAAUAUUGGGUGGUAUGUUAGAGCACUUUAGCAACAAAUAUUUUAAGUCUUGUAUUUAUUUUCUUUUUAUUGGAGACCCUAUGCUGAGGACAAAAAGUAAGCUUGUCUUUCUUUCCACUUUUCCAUCCAACAUUUAAUAUACAUGUUUUUUACUUAGAGGAGGUCACUUUGCUUGCACUUUGAGGAUUAAGGUAUGAUUACUCUGCAAGUGUAAUGCUUUACUAACAGCCCAAGUUCUUCAACCUUAUGUUUAGAGAGAUUAAAAUUAUUAUUUUUAUACUUUCCCAAACUGCAAUGUAUAAAUUGUAUAUUUAGUUUCUUUAAAGUACGUAGAAUUUUUUAUUGGUGCAGUUCAGCUGAUCUCCAGCACAUCUUCCAAACACAAACUUACCAUUAGCAUCAUUUACUUUCAUGGCUUUGAACACAAAUAUCUAAGAUUUCUGAGCACAGAGUCUAAGUAAAUAGAAGAAAUACAUGAUAGUGUCAUUUGUUGAGAGAGGCUAGUGUCUUUACAACAUCUCAGAAGAUAUGCUAAAGAUAUGCUAGUUACACUGAACUGGAACACAUGGACAAUAAGGUGUGUGACAGCUUCUGAAAAGUAGGUUCAAACACUGGAAUUUGUUUUGGCUCCUCUGGGUCAGCACACCUCGAUCAUUCCAGCUCUAUUUCUUUGAAGAGAACAUGAAUCUAACCUCCUGGUCACAUAAAGUCUGUGAUACUCUCCUCCAUGAGCACUCUGCUGCUUGCUCCCUCACUCAUCCUGGCAGUGGAACAAUUCUGGCCUUAACUGCUUACAAAGGAAAUUGAAAGGCAUUCUGCUUUAAAGAGGAAGAUCACUCAAGGGGUAGUCUGUAGCAGAUAAUUGAGAAAUUUUUUUGAAGGAAACUAAAUAACUGAGGUUAUUGGUGAUGUAUUGGUGAUGUAUUGUUCACAAAUUCAAAUCUAAGCCACACUGUUACAAGUAAGUGUAAUUUAGUAUUCUGUGUGAGAUUAGUUUCUCCACUUCUGAGUGAAUGAGAGUUCUCCUUAUAAAUGGGUCUCACUAAUCUAAUCAGCAGUCAUCAUAUGUGUUGUCCUUUGUUUUGGAAUUAUUUAUGAACAUAUUUAAGUUAGUUUAUUUUUAAAAAAGAAUUUAAAAUGUGUUUAGCUUUUACUAUGUGUUUCAGACCUACUUAAAUGCACUCCUGAAAGACACUGGUGAAUGAGUACUUUUAAACUUUACAGUGACACUUGUAAAACAAAAACAAAACACUUCUGUGAGUUAGCUUUUAUCACUUGUGUUAAUCCCAUAAGCAUUUGUUUACCUGACUGACAAACAAAUAGAAGACUUUAUUUUUAAGGUCUCUAAGGUCAGUACUUUUCACACAUGCUAAUGUAAAACACAGAGACAAAAUAGAUCAUGUUCCCUCCAAGUCUUAUCAGCACAUAAUAGAAAAGCAUGGAGGAAAAGGCAAUGUACAUUUCAAAUGGAUUAUUGAAGUGCUGACAAUUUUAUUCUCACAUUAGUGUGGCUUGUUUAUUUGCAAUCCUAGAAUAAAAUUCAUCCAUGUCUGUAUUAUACAUUCUUCAUAGUGUAGUUUUGUAUUUUACCACUCUUGAAAGCCUUGAUGAUUGACUAAAAAUUAUUACAAGUAACAUACAGAGGAUGACAGUCAUCCCCGUUUUCAGUACCUCACUUCAGUCCUGAAGGAAUUUACAAUGAUGCUGUUGAAUAUAACCAGACUACUCUUCCCACUCAGUAUUAGAGACAAUAAAAUAUUCUGCUUCAAAUUAACAUCCUAUUUUACUUCCCUGUGAUUUAAGAAUUUAUGUUAACACUACAAAGAUAAGCAGAGAUGAACAUUUAAAUUAGAUUGGUUCAUAUCCUAACAAAGGUUCAUCAGUAGAAAAUAGUUUCUUGAAAAGCAUGCAUUAUGUUGUAAUGUUCAUAGAAAUGCUUUUCACUGUCUGAGUAUUGCUCAAAAUCACUGGAUGGAUCCGCAUUUGGCUUCUGUUUUAUUGCAAAUAAGAUGUAAUAAAACCCUAACUGGUGAUCAAAGCUCCUGACCAUUAUAUAAUGUGAAUGUCUCAAAAGAGAUCUUAUUCAGAAAUGGCUAACUAGACAUUUGGCCAAAACGUCAUUAAUAUUUUUUGUCAAACCUAAUGUGAGGAACAUAUCAUGUACUGUGAAUUACAAUGUUUCUAUUAAUAAAGGAAAUGAUUUAUUAUUA
Molecule: long non-coding RNA, 2853 nt
Organism: Oxyura jamaicensis (ruddy duck)
Lineage: Eukaryota; Metazoa; Chordata; Aves; Anseriformes; Anatidae
Exons: 2
Source: RefSeq, a predicted model, not a curated record